Molecule: ribosomal RNA, 253 nt
Filed under: uncultured bacterium
Lineage: Bacteria
Description: partial 16S ribosomal RNA
Rfam family: Bacterial small subunit ribosomal RNA
Source: RNAcentral
UACAGAGGUCUCAAGCGUUGUUCGGAUUCAUUGGGCGUAAAGGGUGCGUAGGCGGCGCGGUAAGUCGGGUGUGAAAUCUCGGAGCUUAACUCCGAAACUGCAUUCGAUACUGCCGUGCUUGAGGACGGGAGAGGAGACUGGAAUUUACGGUGUAGCGGUGAAAUGCGUAGAUAUCGGAAGGAAGACCAGUGGCGAAGGCGGGUCUCUGGACAGUUCCUGACGCUGAGGCACGAAGGUCAGGGGAGCAAACGGG